AGCGCACCUAGGCGACGAUCAGUAGCUGGUCUGAGAGGACGAUCAGCCACACUGGGACUGAGACACGGCCCAGACUCCUACGGGAGGCAGCAGUGGGGAAUUUUCCGCAAUGGGCGAAAGGGGAAGAAUACCUGACGGAGCAAUACCGCGUGAGGGAGGAAGGCUCUUGGGUUGUAAACCUCUUUUCUCAACUUGAGGAACAAUGACGGUUAAGCAUCGGCUAACUCCGUGCCACCAGCCGCGGUAAUACGGAGGAUGCAAGCGUUAUCCGGAAUGAUUGGGCGUAAAGCGUCCGCAGGUGGUAAUGAAAGUCUGCUGUUGCUCAAAAGAGUGAG
RNAcentral lists this ribosomal RNA (335 nucleotides) under uncultured bacterium. RNAcentral's name for it is "bacterial SSU rRNA". It matches the Rfam family "Bacterial small subunit ribosomal RNA", at positions 262 to 607 of the family's 1533-position model. The record is from RNAcentral.